UUACGGUCAAAUCACGCUGAAAACACCGGUUCUCGUUCGAUCACCGAAGUUAAGCAUCGUAGAGCCAGGUCAGUACUUAGAUGGGGACCGCUUGGGAACACCUGGUACUGUAA
Molecule: ribosomal RNA, 113 nt
Filed under: Acanthosepion pharaonis
Lineage: Eukaryota; Metazoa; Mollusca; Cephalopoda; Sepiida; Sepiidae
Source: RNAcentral